Long non-coding RNA from Onychostruthus taczanowskii (white-rumped snowfinch), 1357 nucleotides. RefSeq lists it as uncharacterized. Lineage: Eukaryota; Metazoa; Chordata; Aves; Passeriformes; Passeridae. The record is from RefSeq and is a predicted model, not a curated record. The transcript has 3 exons.
GGCGGAACAACGACACGUGAAUAUUGUACACUUCAAUCUAUCCGUUUUCUUUCCUUUUUUGUUUUCUUUCCUUUUUUAACAGAUUCAGACAGGUAUCACCUUUUAUUUUUAAAACAAGCCAAGAGACGCAAACGUUGAAGACCAGUGCCAUCUCAAAUCCCCGGGUGUGAAUACUUCGUCUGUCACGACUGUCCCUGGGAAUCCACAGGAGGUGAACUGAAUAAGAUUAGACUAUUUACCCCAUCAACUCUCCAUCAAAGAAGGUGAAAGCAGCACCGCGGGACACGAGUGGGCAGCGGAGGAGCCGCGGCACUGGCGGAGCGCGCACCGCCCGGGCCGGCCGGGAGCUCGGCUGCCCGAAGAGAUUUUUGCUCCCCUGACGGAUGAUCCACCAUGCUACAACGCUUGCCUUUAUUCCUAAUUUAGAGAUUAUAUUUUCCAAAUAAUUUGUCCCCCCAGUGGGGAAGGUUUCUUUUUUUUUUGUUUUAUUUUGUUUUAGUCUGAGUAGUUUUGCCAUGAAACCCCAGGUUUGAUACCCGCUUCGCAAAACCUGCUCUCGGAGUUUCUCAUUUCCCAUGCGCUCUUCGCUAACCUGGCAAACGGAAAAUUGUGUUAAACAAACAAUCAGUUGUCACACAUUGUCGGGGUGAAAUUGUAAUAACAAAUGAAGCACAAGCAAAUUGUGCUGCAUAGUGUUGCUAAGCAAUUGUUUGUUACGGGAGGGUGGUCACAGCAUGGGUUGAAAGAGGGAUCUAAAGAGGAACAUAGCGCUGGGCAGAGCAAGCUGUUAGGUAUGAAAUACGAUAAACACGGCCCUGAUUUUCAAUAUUAUUACCCAAACACGAUUUCGUACAAAGCAAUCACCAUACACAAGUCUAUGAAAAUGCGCUUGUUGAGAAAUCGGAGGGGUUUUUUUAUUAUUAUUUUAAUAUAUUAAAGAAUAAUUCCGAGGAUGCAAAACGCACCCACAGCCUUCCCGGCGGACUCUUUGACCGGCCUGGCGGCCGGAGCGGCCCCGGGAGUGCCGGCCGGGGGGGCCCGGGGCCCGCAGCCCAGCCCGGCCGGCCGGGGCUGGCCGCGGGCAGGUCCCGGCUGCGGCUCCCGCCCCACGCGAGCGGGGAACCAGGGGUGAACCAGGGGUUCGGGGCAUCAGCGGCGGCGAAACGGCGCUUCGCGGCGCAUCUCUCACUUAUAAAUGCCAUCACCCUGCGGCGUUCCUCACGUUUGUUUCAAACUGAUUGCAUCAUUGCUUCACCAGGAAAAAAAAAAAAGUAUAAAAGUCAUACAAUGCGAAAUUACCGUAAUUUGUUCCCAGAAUAAACUUAUCUUGAACUGAUUAGGAGAGUCAGUCAUUUGA